GAAAAGGAAAAAAAAAAAUCCUAAACCUCUGACCCCACAGAUGAAACCUGAGUCCUCAAGUUUCAGCUCGCUCAUCGCCUGCCUGGCGGAUGGGGAGAUCUUCACCCAGCCAGAAACAAGGAGCUCAUUCUAAAGAAGUUGGAGAAGCAGAACAGCUCUGAUUUUAAAAUCUCUUUGAAAUGCAAUGAUUUUAUACCCAGCUGUGGUGAGUGGAGCUUCUCAGGGAGAAAAACAAAAUUCUGAAUUAAUUUCUGCCUUCUUAGGCUAAAUUUGAAUCCCUGUUCCGACCCUACGACAGGGACCUCACCUUUCAGUAUUUUAAAAGCUUCAAAAGAGUGAGAAUAAAC
This is a non-coding RNA of Cyanistes caeruleus (blue tit), 347 nucleotides long. Lineage: Eukaryota; Metazoa; Chordata; Aves; Passeriformes; Paridae. The record is from RefSeq and is a predicted model, not a curated record.